This 213-nucleotide ribosomal RNA is filed under the name uncultured bacterium. Its description in RNAcentral is "partial 16S ribosomal RNA". It matches the Rfam family "Bacterial small subunit ribosomal RNA", at positions 118 to 332 of the family's 1533-position model. The record is from RNAcentral.
UGAGCAAUCUGCCCUUCACAUCGGAAUAACCAUUGGAAACGAUGGCUAAUACCGAAUAUGACUUCGGAUCGCAUGAUCUGAAGUGGAAAGCUCCGGCGGUGAAGGAUGAGCUCGCGGCCUAUCAGCUUGUUGGUGAGGUAAUAGCUCACUAAGGCGAUGACGGGUAGCCGGCCUGAGAGGGUGACCGGCCACACUGGGACUGAGACACCGGCA